This 416-nucleotide ribosomal RNA is filed under the name uncultured bacterium. RNAcentral describes it as "bacterial SSU rRNA". It matches the Rfam family "Bacterial small subunit ribosomal RNA", at positions 355 to 786 of the family's 1533-position model. The record is from RNAcentral.
UGGGGAAUAUUGGGCAAUGGGCGAAAGCCUGACCUAGCAACGCCGCGUGAGGGAAGAAGGGUUUCGGCUCGUAAACCUCUGUCCUAUGGGACGAAGGAAGUGACGGUACCAUAGGAGGAAGCCCCGGCUAACUACGUGCCAGCAGCCGCGGUAAUACGUAGGGGCGAGCGUUGUCCGGAAUGAUUGGGCGUAAAGGGCGCGUAGGCGGCCCGUUAAGUCUGGAGUGAAAGUCCUGCUUUCAAGGUGGGAAUUGCUUUGGAUACUGAUGGGCUGGAGUGCAGGAGAGGAAAGCGGAAUUACCGGUGUAGCGGUGAAAUGCGUAGAGAUCGGUAGGAACACCAGUGGCGAAGGCGGCUUUCUGGACUGAAACUGACGCUGAGGCGCGAAAGCGUGGGGAGCAAACAGGAUUAGAUACC